GUCUGUGUGUGUGUGUGUACUCAGCAGUCUGUGUGUGUAUUCAGCAGUCUGCUAAGUACACAGACAGACUGCUAAGUACACACAGACAG
This 89-nucleotide microRNA precursor is filed under the name Pelobates cultripes (western spadefoot toad). The record is from RNAcentral. Lineage: Eukaryota; Metazoa; Chordata; Amphibia; Anura; Pelobatidae.